AUUGAACGCUGGCGGCAUGCCUUACACAUGCAAGUCGAACGGCAGCACGGGGGCAACCCUGGUGGCGAGUGGCGGACGGGUGAGUAAUGCAUCGGAACGUGCCCUGAAGUGGGGGAUAACGCAGCGAAAGCUACGCUAAUACCGCAUAUUCUGUGAGCAGGAAAGCAGGGGAUCGCAAGACCUUGCGCUUUGGGAGCGGCCGAUGUCGGAUUAGCUAGUUGGUGGGGUAAAGGCCUACCAAGGCGACGAUCCGUAGCGGGUCUGAGAGGAUGAUCCGCCACACUGGGACUGAGACACGGCCCAGACUCCUACGGGAGGCAGCAGU
This 325-nucleotide ribosomal RNA is filed under the name uncultured bacterium. RNAcentral's name for it is "bacterial SSU rRNA". It matches the Rfam family "Bacterial small subunit ribosomal RNA", at positions 29 to 355 of the family's 1533-position model. The record is from RNAcentral.